UUAAGCGACUAAGCGUACACGGUGGAUGCCCUGGCAGUCAGAGGCGAUGAAGGACGUGCUAAUCUGCGAUAAGCGUCGGUAAGGUGAUAUGAACCGUUAUAACCGGCGAUUUCCGAAUGGGGAAACCCAGUGUGAUUCGUCACACUAUCAUUAACUGAAUCCAUAGGUUAAUGAGGCGAACCGGGGGAACUGAAACAUCUAAGUACCCCGAGGAAAAGAAAUCAACCGAGAUUCCCCCAGUAGCGGCGAGCGAACGGGGAGCAGCCCAGAGCCUGAAUCAGUGUGUGUGUUAGUGGAAGCGUCUGGAAAGGCGCGCGAUACAGGGUGACAGCCCCGUACACAAAAAUGCACAUGCUGUGAGCUCGAUGAGUAGGGCGGGACACGUGGUAUCCUGUCUGAAUAUGGGGGGACCAUCCUCCAAGGCUAAAUACUCCUGACUGACCGAUAGUGAACCAGUACCGUGAGGGAAAGGCGAAAAGAACCCCGGCGAGGGGAGUGAAAAAGAACCUGAAACCGUGUACGUACAAGCAGUGGGAGCACGCUUAGGCGUGUGACUGCGUACCUUUUGUAUAAUGGGUCAGCGACUUAUAUUCUGUAGCAAGGUUAACCGAAUAGGGGAGCCGAAGGGAAACCGAGUCUUAACUGGGCGUUAAGUUGCAGGGUAUAGACCCGAAACCCGGUGAUCUAGCCAUGGGCAGGUUGAAGGUUGGGUAACACUAACUGGAGGACCGAACCGACUAAUGUUGAAAAAUUAGCGGAUGACUUGUGGCUGGGGGUGAAAGGCCAAUCAAACCGGGAGAUAGCUGGUUCUCCCCGAAAGCUAUUUAGGUAGCGCCUCGUGAAUUCAUCUCCGGGGGUAGAGCACUGUUUCGGCAAGGGGGUCAUCCCGACUUACCAACCCGAUGCAAACUGCGAAUACCGGAGAAUGUUAUCACGGGAGACACACGGCGGGUGCUAACGUCCGUCGUGAAGAGGGAAACAACCCAGACCGCCAGCUAAGGUCCCAAAGUCAUGGUUAAGUGGGAAACGAUGUGGGAAGGCCCAGACAGCCAGGAUGUUGGCUUAGAAGCAGCCAUCAUUUAAAGAAAGCGUAAUAGCUCACUGGUCGAGUCGGCCUGCGCGGAAGAUGUAACGGGGCUAAACCAUGCACCGAAGCUGCGGCAGCGACGCUUAUGCGUUGUUGGGUAGGGGAGCGUUCUGUAAGCCUGCGAAGGUGUGCUGUGAGGCAUGCUGGAGGUAUCAGAAGUGCGAAUGCUGACAUAAGUAACGAUAAAGCGGGUGAAAAGCCCGCUCGCCGGAAGACCAAGGGUUCCUGUCCAACGUUAAUCGGGGCAGGGUGAGUCGACCCCUAAGGCGAGGCCGAAAGGCGUAGUCGAUGGGAAACAGGUUAAUAUUCCUGUACUUGGUGUUACUGCGAAGGGGGGACGGAGAAGGCUAUGUUGGCCGGGCGACGGUUGUCCCGGUUUAAGCGUGUAGGCUGGUUUUCCAGGCAAAUCCGGAAAAUCAAGGCUGAGGCGUGAUGACGAGGCACUACGGUGCUGAAGCAACAAAUGCCCUGCUUCCAGGAAAAGCCUCUAAGCAUCAGGUAACAUCAAAUCGUACCCCAAACCGACACAGGUGGUCAGGUAGAGAAUACCAAGGCGCUUGAGAGAACUCGGGUGAAGGAACUAGGCAAAAUGGUGCCGUAACUUCGGGAGAAGGCACGCUGAUAUGUAGGUGAAGUCCCUCGCGGAUGGAGCUGAAAUCAGUCGAAGAUACCAGCUGGCUGCAACUGUUUAUUAAAAACACAGCACUGUGCAAACACGAAAGUGGACGUAUACGGUGUGACGCCUGCCCGGUGCCGGAAGGUUAAUUGAUGGGGUUAGCGCAAGCGAAGCUCUUGAUCGAAGCCCCGGUAAACGGCGGCCGUAACUAUAACGGUCCUAAGGUAGCGAAAUUCCUUGUCGGGU
Molecule: ribosomal RNA, 1949 nt
Filed under: human gut metagenome
Description: bacterial LSU rRNA
Rfam family: Bacterial large subunit ribosomal RNA
Source: RNAcentral